GGGUUGUGAGGUUAAGCGACUAAGCGUACACGGUGGAUGCCCUGGCAGUCAGAGGCGAUGAAGGACGUGCUAAUCUGCGAUAAGCGUCGGUAAGGUGAUAUGAACCGUUAUAACCGGCGAUUUCCGAAUGGGGAAACCCAGUGUGUUUCGACACACUAUCAUUAACUGAAUCCAUAGGUUAAUGAGGCGAACCGGGGGAACUGAAACAUCUAAGUACCCCGAGGAAAAGAAAUCAACCGAGAUUCCCCCAGUAGCGGCGAGCGAACGGGGAGCAGCCCAGAGCCUGAAUCAGUGUGUGUGUUAGUGGAAGCGUCUGGAAAGGCGCGCGAUACAGGGUGACAGCCCCGUACACAAAAAUGCACAUGCUGUGAGCUCGAUGAGUAGGGCGGGACACGUGGUAUCCUGUCUGAAUAUGGGGGGACCAUCCUCCAAGGCUAAAUACUCCUGACUGACCGAUAGUGAACCAGUACCGUGAGGGAAAGGCGAAAAGAACCCCGGCGAGGGGAGUGAAAAAGAACCUGAAACCGUGUACGUACAAGCAGUGGGAGCACGCUUCGGCGUGUGACUGCGUACCUUUUGUAUAAUGGGUCAGCGACUUAUAUUCUGUAGCAAGGUUAACCGAAUAGGGGAGCCGAAGGGAAACCGAGUCUUAACUGGGCGUUAAGUUGCAGGGUAUAGACCCGAAACCCGGUGAUCUAGCCAUGGGCAGGUUGAAGGUUGGGUAACACUAACUGGAGGACCGAACCGACUAAUGUUGAAAAAUUAGCGGAUGACUUGUGGCUGGGGGUGAAAGGCCAAUCAAACCGGGAGAUAGCUGGUUCUCCCCGAAAGCUAUUUAGGUAGCGCCUCGUGAAUUCAUCUCCGGGGGUAGAGCACUGUUUCGGCAAGGGGGUCAUCCCGACUUACCAACCCGAUGCAAACUGCGAAUACCGGAGAAUGUUAUCACGGGAGACACACGGCGGGUGCUAACGUCCGUCGUGAAGAGGGAAACAACCCAGACCGCCAGCUAAGGUCCCAAAGUCAUGGUUAAGUGGGAAACGAUGUGGGAAGGCCCAGACAGCCAGGAUGUUGGCUUAGAAGCAGCCAUCAUUUAAAGAAAGCGUAAUAGCUCACUGGUCGAGUCGGCCUGCGCGGAAGAUGUAACGGGGCUAAACCAUGCACCGAAGCUGCGGCAGCGACGCUGAUGCGUUGUUGGGUAGGGGAGCGUUCUGUAAGCCUGCGAAGGUGUGCUGUGAGG
RNAcentral lists this ribosomal RNA (1237 nucleotides) under Escherichia coli. RNAcentral describes it as "partial 23S ribosomal RNA". It matches the Rfam family "Bacterial large subunit ribosomal RNA", at positions 1 to 1268 of the family's 2925-position model. Lineage: Bacteria; Pseudomonadati; Pseudomonadota; Gammaproteobacteria; Enterobacterales; Enterobacteriaceae. The record is from RNAcentral.